RNAcentral lists this ribosomal RNA (465 nucleotides) under uncultured bacterium. RNAcentral's name for it is "partial 16S ribosomal RNA". It matches the Rfam family "Bacterial small subunit ribosomal RNA", at positions 28 to 507 of the family's 1533-position model. The record is from RNAcentral.
GACGAACGCUGGCGGCGUGCUUAACACAUGCAAGUCGAACGGAAAGGCCCCUUUGGGGGUACUCGAGUGGCGAACGGGUGAGUAACACGUGAGUAACCUGCCCUUGACUUCGGGAUAACUUCAGGAAACUGGGGCUAAUACCGGAUAGGAAUCCUUGCUGCAUGGUGGGGGUUGGAAAGCUUCGGCGGUUUUGGAUGGACUCGCGGCUUAUCAGCUUGUUGGUGGGGUAGUGGCUUACCAAGGCUUUGACGGGUAGCCGGCCUGAGAGGGUGAGCGGCCACAUUGGGACUGAGAGACGGCCCAGACUCCUACGGGAGGCAGCAGUGGGGAAUAUUGCACAAUGGGCGGAAGCCUGAUGCAGCAACGCCGCGUGCGGGAUGACGGCCUUCGGGUUGUAAACCGCUUUCAGCAGGGGCGAAGCUUGUGGUGACGGUACCUGCAGAAGAAGCACCGGCUAACUACGUG